This 74-nucleotide transfer RNA is filed under the name Stegodyphus mimosarum. It matches the Rfam family "tRNA". Rfam says of the family: Transfer RNA (tRNA) molecules are approximately 80 nucleotides in length. Their secondary structure includes four short double-helical elements and three loops (D, anti-codon, and T loops). The record is from Rfam by way of RNAcentral. Lineage: Eukaryota; Metazoa; Arthropoda; Arachnida; Araneae; Eresidae.
GCUUUCGUGGUGUAAUGGUCAAGCACACUUGGCAUGUAUUCGAGAGGUCCGUGGUUCGAGUCCCGGCAAGGGCA